UCACUCAAAGAUGAUCCCGCGUUGUAUUAGCUAGUUGGUGAGGUAAAGGCUCACCAAGGCGAUGAUACAUAGCCGACCUGAGAGGGUGAUCGGCCACAUUGGGACUGAGACACGGCCCAAACUCCUACGGGAGGCAGCAGUAGGGAAUCUUCGGCAAUGGACGAAAGUCUGACCGAGCAACGCCGCGUGAGUGAAGAAGGUUUUCGGAUCGUAAAACUCUGUUGGUAGAGAAGAACGUUGGUGAGAGUGGAAAGCUCACCAAGUGACGGUAACUACCCAGAAAGGGACGGCUAACUACGUGCCAGCAACCGCGGUAAUACGUAGGUCCCGAGCGUUGUCCGGAUUUAUUGGGCGUAAAGCGAGCGCAGGUGGUUUAUUAAGUCUGGUGUAAAAGGCAGUGGCUCAACCAUUGUAUGCAUUGGAAACUGGUAGACUUGAGUGCAGGAGAGGAGAGUGGAAUUCCAUGUGUAGCGGUGAAAUGCGUAGAUAU
This 490-nucleotide ribosomal RNA is filed under the name uncultured bacterium. Its description in RNAcentral is "bacterial SSU rRNA". It matches the Rfam family "Bacterial small subunit ribosomal RNA", at positions 215 to 697 of the family's 1533-position model. The record is from RNAcentral.